This 274-nucleotide ribosomal RNA is filed under the name uncultured bacterium. Its description in RNAcentral is "partial 16S ribosomal RNA". It matches the Rfam family "Bacterial small subunit ribosomal RNA", at positions 523 to 796 of the family's 1533-position model. The record is from RNAcentral.
AUACGGAGGGUGCAAGCGUUAAUCGGAAUUACUGGGCGUAAAGCGUUCGUAGGCGGUUCGUUAAGUUAGAUGUGAAAGCCCCGGGCUUAACCUGGGAACUGCAUUUAAAACUGGCGGACUAGAGUUGAGUAGAGGGGAGUGGAAUUUCAGGUGUAGCGGUGAAAUGCGUAGAGAUCUGAAGGAACACCAGUGGCGAAGGCGACUCCCUGGACUCGAACUGACGCUGAGGUACGAAAGCGUGGGUAGCAAACGGGAUUAGAAACCCUUGUAGUCC